Molecule: long non-coding RNA, 849 nt
Organism: Oryzias melastigma (Indian medaka)
Lineage: Eukaryota; Metazoa; Chordata; Actinopteri; Beloniformes; Adrianichthyidae
Exons: 2
Source: RefSeq, a predicted model, not a curated record
UUGAGUUUAGCUCAUAUUUAAACAAGACACUAAAUAUUUUUGCAAAAUCUGCAUUUUUAAGCCAUUUUACUACCACUUUUUCCAGAAAUUUCUUUCAAUUUCAGCUCUUUCAUAGUUUUUUAACGAAAUGUCCAAUCUUUUACCAAAUUUAAUUUUGAUGUGGCAGAGCUGAGCAUGAAAAACUUGCUGGAUCUUGUCUGGUAAAGUCAAAGAGUUCAUAACGCGGUUGUGUUUUGUUUUCGGAGUCUGCUGCCCCCAGGGGCUGCUGGCAGGGGCGUCAACCUGCUGAACAAACCUGCAGGCUUUCACACACAAGAUUACCUUUAGGUAACUGAGAUGCAAAAAUAAAAAAAAAGCUUGGAAUGAUCUCUUUAAAUCCCUUUUAUUUUGUUUUAAUUUUAUUUAUCCAGGCAUUUAAAGCAAUAUAUUUUUAUUGUCAACUGUUUAGGAUCAACUGAAUAAUCAGAAAAGCUGUUUUCAUCUGCAGAAAACAGCUUUUUUCCCCCUUUUUGUGGCUGCAGGAAUCUUCUUUGUGAUUUUAUGUCGGCUUUUCUUCCAUUUGGAUCUGGGUACAACAUUGUGUAAACUUUGUUUUUUUUUCAGGCCUGUGCUGGCCACAGCUGCUGAGGGGGCAGAUUAUGUACGGCAGUAAAACCAGGUUCUUUUAUUUUGAUAAAAGCUGCAGCUGCUGCAGAGCAGACAGGAGUGAUCAUGGAGCUGUCCACCAGCCUGAUCUUGGUGGCUCUCACCGCCGUUCUGCUCUGGCUGCUGAACCUCAGGAACAACAGGAAGCACCGCUUGCCCCCGGGCCCCCCCGCGCUGCCCCUCAUAGGAAACCUGCUGCAGUUG